RNAcentral lists this ribosomal RNA (418 nucleotides) under uncultured eukaryote. RNAcentral describes it as "bacterial SSU rRNA". It matches the Rfam family "Eukaryotic small subunit ribosomal RNA", at positions 592 to 1018 of the family's 1831-position model. The record is from RNAcentral.
CAAUAGCGUAUAUUAAAGUUGUUGCGGUUAAAAAGCUCGUAGUUGGAUUUCUGCCGAGGACGACCGGUCCGCCCUCUGGGUGAGUAUCUGGCUUGGCCUGGGCAUCUUCUUGGAGAACGUAGCUGCACUUGACUGUGUGGUGCGGUAUCCAGGACUUUUACCUUGAGAAAAUUAGAGUGUUUCAGGCAGGCUAGGCCGGAAUACAUUAGCAUGGAAUAAUGGAAUAGGACUACGGUCUCUUUGUUGGUUUGAGGGACUGCAGUAAUGAUUAAAAGGGGCAGUCAGGGGCACUCGUAUUCCGUCGAGAGAGGUGAAAUUCUCAGACCAAUGGAAGACGAACCACUGCGAAAGCAUUUGCCAGGGAUGUUUUCACUGAUCAAGAACGAAAGUUAGGGGAUCGAAGACGAUCAGAUACCAU